GUGUAAGUAGAUCAAUUGGUUAGAUCAUUGAUUUGUGGCGUCAAAGGUUAGUGGUUCAAUUCCACUCUUACACU
RNAcentral lists this transfer RNA (74 nucleotides) under Amoebidium parasiticum. Its description in RNAcentral is "tRNA-His". It matches the Rfam family "tRNA". Rfam says of the family: Transfer RNA (tRNA) molecules are approximately 80 nucleotides in length. Their secondary structure includes four short double-helical elements and three loops (D, anti-codon, and T loops). Lineage: Eukaryota; Ichthyosporea; Ichthyophonida; Amoebidiaceae. The record is from RNAcentral.